This is a long non-coding RNA of Cryptomeria japonica (Japanese cedar), 541 nucleotides long. RefSeq lists it as uncharacterized. The record is from RefSeq and is a predicted model, not a curated record. Lineage: Eukaryota; Viridiplantae; Streptophyta; Pinopsida; Cupressales; Cupressaceae. The transcript has 3 exons.
CCAAUUAUCGAUAUACGGACCGCGAAUUUUUAACAGAUAUAGCUUCCCUAGCAUAUCGCCAUUCUUCUCAGCCAUUAAUGGAAUGCGCACAUUGCCAAACGUGGAAGGUGUAGAUUCAAUCUAGAGAGCUCGGAGUGCAUUUCGUCGAACCAGGAGUGUAUGUUCACUGUUCUGUACAACACUUCCGUAAUGGCAAAUUGAGGCAAAUGCGUUUAUGAAGAGAUAAAUUUGACGUAAAAUACCUACCAUCCACAUAAAUCCAAAAGGGCGACUUCAGGCAAAUGCGGCUUUAUUUGAGAGAUUGUAGAUCAUAAACAGAGCAUAGGCAAGUCGCCGGUUAACUUUAGAGAUUUCAAAUGGGCACAACGAAAGAAUAGUGAGAAAGGUGAAGAAAAUUGAGAAAGCGGCAGGCAGGCAUGUCACUUUCUACAAGCGGAGGAAGGGUUUGAUAAAAAAAAGCGCAGGAGCUUUCCAUUAUGUGCAACGCGGAUGUAGGGGUCAUCAUUUUUUCUGCAACAGGGAAGCUCUUCGAGUACUCCAA